UUAUACAGUGAGACUCGCGCAAUGGCUCAUUAAAUCAGUUAUAAUUUAUUUGAUAUUCACUUACUACUUGGAUAACCGUGGUAAUUCUAGAGCUAAUACAUGCGUACAUAACCUCGACUUCUGGAAGAGGUGCACUUAUUAGAUAAAAAGCCAACGCGGGCAACCGCUUGUAUGGUGAUUCAUAAUAAUUAAUCGAAUCGCAUGGCCUUGUGCCGGCGAUGAUGCAUUCAAAUUUCUGCCCUAUCAAGUUUCGAUGGUAGGUUAGUGGCCUACCAUGCUUUUAACGGGUAACGGGGAAUUAGGGUUCGAUUCCGGAGAGGGAGCCUGAGAAACGGCUACCACAUCCAAGGAAGGCAGCAGGCGCGCAAAUUACCCAAUCCCGACACGGGGAGGUAGUGACAAUAAAUAACAAUACAGGGCCUUUACGGGUCUUGUAAUUGGAAUGAGUACAAUUUAAAUCCCUUAACGAGGAACAAUUGGAGGGCAAGUCUGGUGCCAGCAGCCGCGGUAAUUCCAGCUCCAAUAGCGUAUAUUAAAGUUGUUGCAGUUAAAAAGCUCGUAGUUGAAUUUUGGCCUUCGCCUGUGGGGUUCGGUCUUCAUUGAUCGGUACCUCAACGGGCGGGGCUCCACCUUCUGGGUUAGCCAGUCGUCAUUUCGGUGGCGGCUGGUGAACCAGAACUUUUACUUUGAAAAAAUUGGAGUGUUUAAAGCAGGCUUUCAAGCUUGAACAUAUUAGCAUGGAAUAAUGAAAUAGGACUUUGGCCUUAUUUCGUUGGUUUCUAAAGCCAAAGUAAUGAUGAAUAGGGAUAGUUGGGGACAUUAGUAUUCAAUUGUCAGAGGUGAAAUUCUUGGAUUUAUUGAAGACUAACUUCUGCGAAAGCAUUUGUCAAGGAUGUUUUCAUUAAUCAAGAACGAAAGUUAGGGGAUCGAAGACGAUCAGAUACCGUCGUAGUCUUAACCAUAAACUAUGCCGACUAAGGAUCGGAUGGUGUUAUAUUUUAUAUUGACCCAUUCGGCAUUUCAGCGAAAGCCAAGUUU
RNAcentral lists this ribosomal RNA (1038 nucleotides) under Umbelopsis isabellina. RNAcentral's name for it is "SSU rRNA". It matches the Rfam family "Eukaryotic small subunit ribosomal RNA", at positions 74 to 1106 of the family's 1831-position model. The record is from RNAcentral. Lineage: Eukaryota; Fungi; Mucoromycota; Umbelopsidomycetes; Umbelopsidales; Umbelopsidaceae.